This 68-nucleotide transfer RNA is filed under the name Sycophila sp. 2 JXW-2020. RNAcentral describes it as "tRNA-Tyr". The record is from RNAcentral. Lineage: Eukaryota; Metazoa; Arthropoda; Insecta; Hymenoptera; Eurytomidae.
AGUAAGGUGGUCCGAUAAUAGGUAUAUAAACUGUAAAAUUAUUUAUAGAAAUUUAAUUCUCCUUACUA